Molecule: ribosomal RNA, 427 nt
Filed under: uncultured bacterium
Lineage: Bacteria
Description: bacterial SSU rRNA
Rfam family: Bacterial small subunit ribosomal RNA
Source: RNAcentral
GAUGAACGCUGGCGGCGUGCCUAACACAUGCAAGUCGAACGAAACUGAUUUCAUGAAACUUCGGUAGAUUGGAUGAAAGUUGAGUGGCGGACGGGUGAGUAACACGUGGGCAACCUGCCUCACAGAGGGGGAUAGCAGUUGGAAACGACUGAUAAUACCGCAUAAGCACACAGUACCGCAUGGUACAGGGUGAAAAGAUUUAUCACUGUGAGAUGGACCCGCGUCUGAUUAGCCAGUUGGCAGGGUAACGGCCUACCAAAGCGACGAUGCAUAGCCGAGUUGAGAGACUGAUCGGCCACAUUGGGACUGAGACACGGCCCAAACUCCUACGGGGAGGCAGCAGUAGGGAAUCUUCCACAAUGGACGCAAGUCUGAUGGAGCAACGCCGCGUGAGUGAAGAAGGUUUUCGGAUCGUAAAGCUCUGUUG